CCCUAGACAUUUUAUUUUAUUGUUGUAUGUACAUUUGUAUGUAUUACAUAUAUUUAUGUAUAUGAUGUAUAUGUAUAUACAUACAUAUGAACAUACAUAGGUAUUUCUCAUGGUUAAACACUGUUCGCCAUUUUGUUUCUGCUGAUUCGCGUAAAGCUCCUCCUAUGUAACCUGUUUUAUCUCUUAGGCUGACUAAAUAGUUAAACUUUAAAUGUGUUAAAAUGCAGUACAUACACAUCGCAUGGAUACAGGCCUAUGCAUGUAUGUACAUGAUUUCUCGUCAGUAUUAUGAUACAAUGUAAUUAUAUGAGAAAAACUGUCACCUGUGUGUACAUACAUGUACAUACAUUUGUACAUAUAUGAACACAAACACUUAUACGAAUGUGGGUGUGGAUAAACAUGUUUAUUCACACACAUAUGUACAUAUAUAUGAAUGUAUGUACAUUGGAAUAACGAACACAAAAUAUUUUCCAGUUUUUGUUUGGUGGGUAAUGCACACACUCACGGGCUUACUCAAGACAACACAAAUGCACACUGGUGUGUGUAUAAAAGCAUACAACUCAAUAAAAAAUGAAUAGGAACAAAACUGGUUUCUUGAUACCUCUUUACGAGGAAUGUCUUCAUUAGUCGUCGGGUACAAAAUUUCUACGUUUAUCAGGUUGAUCCGACAUACAUAUGUACAUUCGAGCCGAGCCGAAUUUUAAUACUCUAAUAAUACACACAUGUAUACAUACAUAUACAUGUAUGUACAUACAUACGAAGCAAAUUUACUGAAGCAUGUUGGUUUAUAAGUACACUUCACUACAAAAUGUCCAUGUGCGUAAAUACAUUAUACACUAAUGUAAUACAUUUUUUUUUGGUCCAUAAUAUUGGACCUAUUUAUGUAUGUAAAGAUAAUGUAAAUCCGAUCUGUCUUUCUUGACAGCGGAAUUGAAACAUGCAUACAUACAUAUGUAUAUAGGUAUGUACAUAUUUGAAUAUCCUUCGUCGUUAGCUGAUGUACAUACAUAUGUACAUAUCCAUACACACGUAUGCAGCCUGGGGUUUGUAUGCAUUGAUGACGGUCUGAAACAACAUUUCUGCUGGCUUGAGGCUCGGACAUAAAAUUUCAAGCAACGACACGCAAAAAGCACUUGGGUUAAGUUUACGUUGAUCGUAUAAAUAAGAAAAGGGCAAGAAAAGCUUACCAUGUCGGGAAGAAUCUUGCAUACUCUCGCUCACUAUUUCACCAACAAGUUAGGUAAAUAACCAGCUGAGACAUUGAAACAUUGAAAACAUUUCAUUAUAUUUACAGUACGUAAAAAUAUAUAUUAUUAUUAUUUAGAGUAUUUUUUAAAAUGUACUAUACAUAUGUAUGAACAUACAUACGCAUACAAUUACUGAGAAUUGAUUUGGAGACUGGGAAAAUAAAGAAGAAAAAUGCUGUCUAUG
This 1431-nucleotide long non-coding RNA is filed under the name Drosophila guanche. The record is from RNAcentral. Lineage: Eukaryota; Metazoa; Arthropoda; Insecta; Diptera; Drosophilidae.